CAUCUUCCAGUACAGUGUUGGAUGGUCUAAUUGUGAAGCUCCUAACACUGUCUGGUAAAGAUGGC
Molecule: microRNA precursor, 65 nt
Filed under: Macaca mulatta (Rhesus monkey)
Lineage: Eukaryota; Metazoa; Chordata; Mammalia; Primates; Cercopithecidae
Also listed under: 4 other names
Description: Mml-Mir-8-P2b_pre stem-loop
Rfam family: mir-8/mir-141/mir-200 microRNA precursor family
About the family: The bounds of the precursors are predicted based on conservation and base pairing and are not generally known.
Source: RNAcentral